GUGAGGAAUAUUGCGCAAUGGAGGCAACUCUGACGCAGCCAUGCCGCGUGCAGGAAGAAGGCGCUACGCGUUGUAAACUGCUUUUAACCGGGAAGAAACCCCAGGACGUGUCCUGGGUUGACGGUACCGGAGGAAUAAGCACCGGCUAACUUCGUGCCAGCAGCCGCGGUAAUACGAAGGGUGCAAGCGUUAUCCGGAUUCAUUGGGUUUAAUGGGUGCGUAGGCGGAGCGUUAAGUCAGUGGUGAAAUCCUGCAGCUUAACUGUAGACUUGCCAUUGAUACUGGCGCUCUUGAGUGCGCUUGAAGUGGGCGGAAUGUGGCGUGUAGCGGUGAAAUGCUUAGAUAUGGCACAGAACACCAAUUGCGAAGGCAGCUCACUAAGGCGAUACUGACGCUGAGGCACGAAAGCGUGGGGAUCGAACAGGAUUAGAAACCCUAGUAGUCC
Molecule: ribosomal RNA, 445 nt
Filed under: uncultured bacterium
Lineage: Bacteria
Description: partial 16S ribosomal RNA
Rfam family: Bacterial small subunit ribosomal RNA
Source: RNAcentral